Molecule: ribosomal RNA, 957 nt
Filed under: Epicoccum poae
Lineage: Eukaryota; Fungi; Ascomycota; Dothideomycetes; Pleosporales; Didymellaceae
Description: eukaryotic LSU rRNA
Rfam family: Eukaryotic large subunit ribosomal RNA
Source: RNAcentral
GGGAUUGCCCUAGUAACGGCGAGUGAAGCGGCAACAGCUCAAAUUUGAAAUCUGGCGUCUUUGGCGUCCGAGUUGUAAUUUGCAGAGGGCGCUUUGGCAUUGGCAGCGGUCCAAGUUCCUUGGAACAGGACGUCACAGAGGGUGAGAAUCCCGUACGUGGUCGCUAGCCUUUACCGUGUAAAGCCCCUUCGACGAGUCGAGUUGUUUGGGAAUGCAGCUCUAAAUGGGAGGUAAAUUUCUUCUAAAGCUAAAUACUGGCCAGAGACCGAUAGCGCACAAGUAGAGUGAUCGAAAGAUGAAAAGCACUUUGGAAAGAGAGUUAAAAAGCACGUGAAAUUGUUGAAAGGGAAGCGCUUGCAGCCAGACUUGCCUGUAGUUGCUCAUCCGGGUUUUUACCCGGUGCACUCUUCUACGGGCAGGCCAGCAUCAGUUUGGGCGGUUGGAUAAAGGUCUCUGUCACGUACCUCCUCUCGGGGAGAUCUUAUAGGGGAGACGACAUGCAACCAGCCUGGACUGAGGUCCGCGCAUCUGCUAGGAUGCUGGCGUAAUGGCUGUAAGCGGCCCGUCUUGAAACACGGACCAAGGAGUCUAACAUCUAUGCGAGUGUUUGGGUGUCAAGCCCGAGCGCGUAAUGAAAGUGAACGGAGGUGGGAACCUUUCGGGGUGCACCAUCGACCGAUCCUGAUGUCUUCGGAUGGAUUUGAGUAAGAGCAUAGCUGUUGGGACCCGAAAGAUGGUGAACUAUGCUUGAAUAGGGUGAAGCCAGAGGAAACUCUGGUGGAGGCUCGCAGCGGUUCUGACGUGCAAAUCGAUCGUCAAAUUUGGGCAUAGGGGCGAAAGACUAAUCGAACUAUCUAGUAGCUGGUUCCUGCCGAAGUUUCCCUCAGGAUAGCAGUAACGUUUUCAGUUUUAUGAGGUAAAGCGAAUGAUUAGAGGCCUGGGGGUUGAAACAACCUU